AGUCACUGACAUUAGAUACCCGGGUAGUCCAGGGUGUAAACGCUGCAGACUUGGUGUUGGGAACCCUUCGGGGGUGCUCAGUGCCGGAGAGAAGUUGUUAAGUCUGCUACUUGGGAGUACGUCCGCAAGGAUGAAACUUAAAGGAAUUGGCGGGGGAGCACCGCAACGGGAGGAGCGUGCGGUUUAAUUGGAUUCAACGACCGAAAACUCACCAGCAGCGACUGUUACAUGAAAGUCAGGUUGAUGACCUUACUAGAUUUUCAG
This 264-nucleotide ribosomal RNA is filed under the name uncultured archaeon. RNAcentral's name for it is "partial 16S ribosomal RNA". It matches the Rfam family "Archaeal small subunit ribosomal RNA", at positions 719 to 982 of the family's 1478-position model. The record is from RNAcentral.